UACGAAGGGGGCUAGCGUUGCUCGGAAUUACUGGGCGUAAAGCGCACGUAGGCGGAUUGUUAAGUCGGGGGUGAAAUCCUGGAGCUCAACUCCAGAACUGCCUUCGAUACUGGCGAUCUCGAGUUCGGGAGAGGUGAGUGGAACUGCGAGUGUAGAGGUGAAAUUCGUAGAUAUUCGCAAGAACACCAGUGGCGAAGGCGGCUCACUGGCCCGAUACUGACGCUGAGGUGCGAAAGCGUGGGGAACAAACAGG
RNAcentral lists this ribosomal RNA (253 nucleotides) under uncultured bacterium. RNAcentral describes it as "partial 16S ribosomal RNA". It matches the Rfam family "Bacterial small subunit ribosomal RNA", at positions 524 to 776 of the family's 1533-position model. The record is from RNAcentral.